Molecule: small RNA, 521 nt
Filed under: Pongo abelii (Sumatran orangutan)
Lineage: Eukaryota; Metazoa; Chordata; Mammalia; Primates; Hominidae
Description: processed transcript
Source: RNAcentral
GUCAAAGGCAGCAAACAGACUGAAUGAAAGAUGAGCUUCUGCCUUUAUAUCCUUCUCUCCUGCUACCCAACUCACUGUGGUGAAGGAAAAAGAAAACGCGGGUGGAGACUGCACUAUAUGCUUAGGACUGAAAUGCAACUGCAGAAGCAACAUGCGACCUUUUAAAGAUGCUUGUGGGACUGCAUAAAGUGAAGAGGGAAACUGGAAAAAACAAUGAAGUAAGGAAAAACAUUUAUCACCAUCCAGCCACUGUAGAUAAAUUUGAUUGGCUGUCUCCCUGCCUUCCCUUCACACCCAGUACCUUCCCUGCCUGAACUCCUCAUUGAGGGCAAGAACUUUAUCCCCAGGAUCUAAACCAGUGCUGCACAAUAGAUGCUCAGCUAAUCACGAACUCCUGGCCUCAAAUGAUCUUCCUACCUUGGCUUCCCAAAGUGCUGUGAUUACAGACGUGAGCUGCUGUGCCUGGCCAAGACUUAAUUUUGAAUGACAUUGGGACCAUUGCCAAAAAUCAAAUCCAUCUU